GAGUAGCUGAAAUGAAUGCUCGGGAAGUUAUGGAGCGAAAGGAUACGAUACCAGUGAUGAAUGCCAAAGCCCUGCUGCCUGUGGAGACGGUGAUGCUUGACUUUAUUGUACAGCUGCAGUUUGUGUGAUGAAGGUGCUCCCACAGUGUGGUUGGAUUCCACCAUCUGACAAGCUGGGAUUCGAACAGGGAUUUCAGUUGUACAUUUUAAUAUUCUGGAUAAAAGGAUACUACAGGUGGACAUUCAGAUGGUAAACUCAGUCAUUGUAACUCUGAUUGAAUUAGUCAGUUCAUCAGGACUAGGAUAUUCGCAUUGUGUGGUUCUGAAAGGGCAGAUUUGUGGAUGAGAAAUUCAAAUGUUCGGUUUUGAUGGUUACUUGAUCCGUGCCGGUCUGAAUAUCAUUGGCCUUUUCAUAUGGAA
This is a long non-coding RNA of Hemiscyllium ocellatum (epaulette shark), 419 nucleotides long. RefSeq lists it as uncharacterized. The transcript is spliced from 5 exons. NCBI's taxonomy places the organism in Eukaryota, Metazoa, Chordata, Chondrichthyes, Orectolobiformes, Hemiscylliidae. The record is from RefSeq and is a predicted model, not a curated record.